UUUCCGUAGGUGAACCUGCGGAAGGAUCAUUAAUUAUAUAAGGCCACAGGGCAAGCCUUCCGAAAGGAUCGAGCUUGCUGUGUGAACCCUACCUACCCUUGCUUUUUGCGUACCCAUUGUUUCCUCGGCAGGCUUGCCUGCCAGUAGGACCCUCUUAAACCCUUUGUAAUUGCAGUCAGCGUCAGAAACAACGUAAUCGCUACAACUUUCAACAACGGAUCUCUUGGUUCUG
This 232-nucleotide unclassified non-coding RNA is filed under the name plant metagenome. RNAcentral describes it as "partial contains small subunit ribosomal RNA, internal transcribed spacer 1, and 5.8S ribosomal RNA". The record is from RNAcentral.